UCUGGUUGAUCCUGGCGGAGGUUACUGCUAUCGAGGUUCGACUAAGCCAUGCGAGUCGAAUGUAGCAAUACAUGGCGAACUGCUCAGUAACACGUGGACAACCUGCCCUUAGGUUGGGUAUAAACCCGGGAAACUGGGUAUAAUACCCGAUAGGUCUCGAUUGCUGGAAUGCAUCGAGAUUUAAAGCUCCGGCGCCUAAGGAUGGGUCUGCGGCCUAUCAGGUAGUAGUGGGUGUAGCGUACCUACUAGCCUACGACGGGUACGGGUUGUGAGAGCAAGAGCCCGGAGAUGGAUUCUGAGACACGAAUCCAGGCCCUACGGGGUGCAGCAGGCGCGAAAACUUUACAAUGCGGGAAACCGUGAUAAGGGAACUCCGAGUGUCCGUAAAUUCGGACUGUCCGUAUGUUUAAUAAGGAUACGAAGAUAGGGCCGGGCAAGACCGGUGCCAGCCGCCGCGGUAAUACCGGCGGCUCGAGUGGUGGCCACUAUUACUGGGCUUAAAGCGUUCGUAGCUUGGUUGUUAAGUCUCUUGGGAAAUCUAUCGGCUUAACCGAUAGGCGUCCAGGGGAUACUGGCAAUCUAGGGACCGGGGGAGGUGAGGGGUACUUCAGGGGUAGGAGUGAAAUCCUGUAAUCCUUGGGGGACCACCUGUGGCGAAGGCGCCUCACCAGAACGGCUCCGACAGUGAGGGACGAAAGCUGGGGGAGCAAACCGGAUUAGAUACCCGGGUAGUCCCAGCCGUAAACGAUGCACGUUAGGUGUAUCGAUGACCACGAGUCAUCGAGGUGCCGAAGGGAAACCGUGAAACGUGCCGCCUGGAAGUACGGUCGCAAGGCUGAAACUUAAAGGAAUUGGCGGGGGAGCACCACACAGGUGGAGCCUGCGGUUUAAUCGGACUCAACGCCGGAAUCUCACCGGAUAGACAGCUGAAUGAUAGUCGGGCUGAAGACUCU
This 953-nucleotide ribosomal RNA is filed under the name uncultured archaeon. Its description in RNAcentral is "bacterial SSU rRNA". It matches the Rfam family "Archaeal small subunit ribosomal RNA", at positions 1 to 969 of the family's 1478-position model. The record is from RNAcentral.